UUUUAUAUACGGAUUAUCCGUAUAUAAUCUUANCUACAACCCAAUUAUAUACGAAUUUUUGGCCGUAUAUAAUUCGUAUAUAACACCACUUUAUAUACAGAUUUUUGAAGUUAUAUACGGAUUUCGGCCGUAUAUAAUUGCGAUUUUUCUUGUAGUGGGGUUUUCCGACGAAUGUUUCCUUCAGUAAAUGAAGGGUCCAUUACCGACGGAUUUACCGAGGGAUAUUUUCCUUCGGUAAAUGUAGGGACUAUUACCGACGGAUUUAUCGACGGAUUUCUUCCUUUGGUAAAUGAAUGGUCUCUUACCGACGGAUUUAUCGACGGAUUUUUUUCUUUGGUAGAUUUAAACUGCGUUAUUGACGGAUUUAUCGAUGGAUUAUUCCUUCGGUAAUGAUUCUGUCGGUAAAAUCCGUCGGCAAGAAAAAAAAAUUGCAUUCCNUUGAUAAAAUUCGUCGGUAAAUUACAAUUACCGACGAAAAUAUUUCCGUCGGUAAUUAUCAGAUUUCUUGUGUCCCUGCCCAAUGUGGGGGUGUGAUAACUCCCAAAAUUUUCUUUUUUUUUUCUAUGCUUAGGAGUCUAUGUUAGUCCAAUUUAGUUUCUAAUUGUCUAAAAUUAGGUUAGUUUUAGAAAAUUUCUUUAAAUUUGUAGUUAUGUAAAAUUUUAGUUAAAAAUAGAUUUUUAGAUGUAAAUUUGAGUCUUUGUUAAUAAUUAGAAAAUUUAUAUUUUAUUAAAAAAANUUAAUAAAAAUUUUUCUUUAUAAUUGUUAAAUUCCUUUUCUUUUCUUUAAUUGAUUUUUUUUCUUUUUCUUUGAUGUAGAUAUGAAAUAAAAUGGGAUGUUAC
Molecule: long non-coding RNA, 839 nt
Filed under: Vigna radiata
Lineage: Eukaryota; Viridiplantae; Streptophyta; Magnoliopsida; Fabales; Fabaceae
Description: long non-coding RNA (VRAD_LNC014686)
Source: RNAcentral